RNAcentral lists this ribosomal RNA (404 nucleotides) under Actinomycetes bacterium. RNAcentral's name for it is "Actinobacteria bacterium partial 16S ribosomal RNA". It matches the Rfam family "Bacterial small subunit ribosomal RNA", at positions 355 to 776 of the family's 1533-position model. The record is from RNAcentral. Lineage: Bacteria; Bacillati; Actinomycetota; Actinomycetes.
UGGGGAAUAUUGGACAAUGGGCGCAAGCCUGAUCCAGCCAUGCCGCGUGAGUGAUGAAGGCCCUAGGGUUGUAAAGCUCUUUCACCGGUGAAGAUAAUGACGGUAACCUGAGAAGAAGCCCCGGCUAACUUCGUGCCAGCAGCCGCGGUAAUACGAAGGGGGCUAGCGUUGUUCGGAUUUACUGGGCGUAAAGCGCACGUAGGCGGACUAGUAAGUCAGGGGUGAAAUCCCGGGGCUCAACCCCGGAACUGCCUUUGAUACUGGUAGUCUUGAGUUCGAGAGAGGUGAGUGGAAAUCCGAGUGUAUAGGUGAAAUUCGUAGAUAUUCGGAGGAAAACCAGUGGCGAAGGCGGAUCACUGGCUCGAUACUGACGCUGGGGUGCGAAAGCGUGGGGAGCAAACAGG